AUGUACCACUCGUACACUCCGGUUCCUGUGCGCCGCCCGCACCCACCUGACGACUGCUCGCCAAGAUAUAGCC
RNAcentral lists this small RNA (73 nucleotides) under Xanthomonas vasicola. Its description in RNAcentral is "sX9 sRNA". It matches the Rfam family "Xanthomonas sRNA sX9". Lineage: Bacteria; Pseudomonadati; Pseudomonadota; Gammaproteobacteria; Lysobacterales; Lysobacteraceae. The record is from RNAcentral.